Molecule: ribosomal RNA, 253 nt
Filed under: uncultured bacterium
Lineage: Bacteria
Description: partial 16S ribosomal RNA
Rfam family: Bacterial small subunit ribosomal RNA
Source: RNAcentral
UACGAAGGGUGCUAGCGUUGUUCGGAAUCCCUGGGCGUAAAGCGCGCGUCGGCGGCUUUGCAAGUCCGGUGUGAAAUCCCACAGCUUAACUGUGGAACUGCCUUUGAAACUGCAAGGCUAGAGUGUCGGAGGGGAUAGCGGAAUUGCUAAUGUAGAGGUGAAAUUCGUAGAUAUUAGCAGGAACACCGGUGGCGAAGGCGGCUAUCUGGACGACAACUGACGCUGAGGCGCGAAAGCGUGGGGAUCAAACAGG